This is a long non-coding RNA of Felis catus (domestic cat), 575 nucleotides long. RefSeq lists it as uncharacterized. The record is from RefSeq and is a predicted model, not a curated record. The transcript is spliced from 3 exons. NCBI's taxonomy places the organism in Eukaryota, Metazoa, Chordata, Mammalia, Carnivora, Felidae.
AUGCUGUGGGGUUAAUCCAGGAUUUUGUAGUUAUGGUUGACAUGGCAACUGUUGACAGGGGACUGCUUGACAAAGAUCUAUGAAGCUACUAAAUUCUAUAAUACUUAAAUGGUAAGAAGACAAAUUAUUUAGGGCUGGUAUGUACUUAUUUUCCCUUGGGAAAAUUGGUAUAAUAAAUAAAGACAGCUACUAGGUCUAUCCCCAAAUGUCCUUGGAGACAUUUCAUUAUCUUUCCCCCUUCCCUGCAUUACAAUUUGUUGUUUCUAUCUCAAAUUUUCUUAUUUGCACACUCAUUUGUUGAUUUUCCCUCUCCUGAUCUCCAUAGGAACAUAAGUGUUAAAAUUUGACCAGCCUUUACUGUCUUGCUUGAAACUGUAUUCCUGUCAGAAGAUGAUGACUGGGGUAACAUAAUGUUAACUGAUGUCAUUACUCUAAUGUCAUCUUCGAUCAUUUGGUUAAGGAAUACCGUGAAAUUCAAGAACAUUUCCUGGACAAAUUAAGGACAUAAAACUUAUGAGAUUUGAAUAAGGUCUCCUGCAGUAAGGGAAAUAAAAGAAGAAAUAAACUAUUGGGAC